AGAACUCAAAAAGCAGAAAGCCUUCCAAAAAUCAAAGUUCUUAGAGUUAAUUCUGGGGUUCUUUCUUCUUUGAAUUUGUUGGUGCCCAACGUCUAUUUUUGGGUCAUUUCAUUGGUUUAAAAGCUGCUGGUUGUUGCUAUUUUGCUGUCUUGCUGGGCGUCAUUUUCAUUAUUACUGUUUAUUUAUUUUCUGCGAUCCA
RNAcentral lists this long non-coding RNA (199 nucleotides) under Nicotiana benthamiana. RNAcentral describes it as "long non-coding RNA (NBEN_LNC017628)". The record is from RNAcentral. Lineage: Eukaryota; Viridiplantae; Streptophyta; Magnoliopsida; Solanales; Solanaceae.